GAAAUGCGAUAAGUAAUGUGAAUUGCAGAAUUCAGUGAAUCAUCGAAUCUUUGAACGCACCUUGCGCUCCUGGUAUUCCGAGGAGCGUGCCUGUUUGAGUGUCAUGGAAUUCUCAACUCUAUUUGCUUUUGUGAAUAGAGCUUGGAUUUGGAGGUUUAUUGCUGGUACUUGUGAUCGGCUCCUCUUGAAUGCAUUAGCUCGAACCUUUGCGGAUCAGCUAUCGGUGUGAUAAUUGUCUACGCCGUUGCAGUGAAGCAUAUCAAUGGGCUCGGCUUCCAAUCGUCCUUUACUGGACAAUGACUUUGACCUUUGACCUCAAAUCAGGUAGGAUUACCCGCUGAACUUAAGC
This 349-nucleotide unclassified non-coding RNA is filed under the name plant metagenome. RNAcentral's name for it is "partial contains 5.8S ribosomal RNA, internal transcribed spacer 2, and large subunit ribosomal RNA". The stretch from base 1 to 104 matches the Rfam family "5.8S ribosomal RNA", at positions 50 to 154 of the family's 154-position model. The record is from RNAcentral.